This 484-nucleotide ribosomal RNA is filed under the name uncultured bacterium. RNAcentral describes it as "partial 16S ribosomal RNA". It matches the Rfam family "Bacterial small subunit ribosomal RNA", at positions 30 to 507 of the family's 1533-position model. The record is from RNAcentral.
AUUGAACGCUGGCGGCAGGCCUAACACAUGCAAGUCGAGCGGAUGAAGGGAGCUUGCUCCUGGAUUCAGCGGCGGACGGGUGAGUAAUGCCUAGGAAUCUGCCUGGUAGUGGGGGAUAACGUCCGGAAACGGGCGCUAAUACCGCAUACGUCCAGAGGGAGAAAGUGGGGGAUCUUCGGACCUUACGCUAUCAGAUGAGCCUAGGUCGGAUUAGCUAGUUGGUGGGGUAAAGGCCUACCAAGGAGACGAUCCGUAACUGGUCUGAGAGGAUGAUCAGUCACACGGGAGCUGAGACACGGUCCAUACUCCUACGGGAGGCAGCAGUGGGCAAUAGUGGGCAAUAGGCGAGAGCCUGAUCCAGCCAUGCCGCGUGUGUGAAGAAGGUCUUCGGAGUGGGAAGCACUUUAAGGUGUGAUGAAGGGCAGUAGGUUGAGACCUUGCUUGUUUGACGUUACCAACUGAAUAAGCACCGGCUAACUACGUG